RNAcentral lists this unclassified non-coding RNA (279 nucleotides) under Hevea brasiliensis (rubber tree). The record is from RNAcentral. Lineage: Eukaryota; Viridiplantae; Streptophyta; Magnoliopsida; Malpighiales; Euphorbiaceae.
GUGCUGGCUGCUAUUUAUUGCAGUCUAGGAAGGUUCGACGAGGCUGUGCCGGCUCUCGAGUUACUGUGCCGGAUUUGACUAGAAGAAUGGAUCACGUGCUCGCGGCGUUUUCUGUGUAUAUGCAGUUGGGGAUACGUACUCGAUGCUUGGACAGGUCGAUAUGUCGAUGCCGCCUACGAGGAGGGGCUCAAAAUUCAGAUGGAAGCUUUGGGAGAGACCGAUCCCAGAGUUGGCAAGGCUUGGAGGGCGUUUGUUUUGCUUGUACCUAGCUGAGGCUAA